GCAGCGGUAGCUCAGUUGGUAGAGCAGGGGCCUCUUAAGCCCAAGGUCCUGGGUUCGAAUCCCAGCCGCUGCACCA
Molecule: transfer RNA, 76 nt
Filed under: Patescibacteria group bacterium
Lineage: Bacteria
Description: tRNA-Lys
Rfam family: tRNA
About the family: Transfer RNA (tRNA) molecules are approximately 80 nucleotides in length. Their secondary structure includes four short double-helical elements and three loops (D, anti-codon, and T loops). Further hydrogen bonds mediate the characteristic L-shaped molecular structure. tRNAs have two regions of fundamental functional importance: the anti-codon, which is responsible for specific mRNA codon recognition, and the 3' end, to which the tRNAs corresponding amino acid is attached (by aminoacyl-tRNA synthetases). tRNAs cope with the degeneracy of the genetic code in two manners: having more than one tRNA (with a specific anti-codon) for a particular amino acid; and 'wobble' base-pairing, i.e. permitting non-standard base-pairing at the 3rd anti-codon position.
Source: RNAcentral